Long non-coding RNA from Alosa alosa (allis shad), 524 nucleotides. RefSeq lists it as uncharacterized. The transcript is spliced from 4 exons. Lineage: Eukaryota; Metazoa; Chordata; Actinopteri; Clupeiformes; Clupeidae. The record is from RefSeq and is a predicted model, not a curated record.
UGUGAAUAAAAUUAGCUGUAAAUCACUGAGUAGUAGGCCUAUUUAAUUGUAUUUCAUCAGGAAAGUCAAAGAUACAGAAAAUUAGUAAAUUUUACUCAUUGAGAGAUUGUUGUUUUUAAAUCACCUUAGUUACAUUUCCACUCAAGGCAUUUCGCGCCACAUAGAUGGAACACACACAUUUCAUGGAAACUUUCCAAAAGAUCCAGGUGAUGCAUUUUACAGAAUCACAAUGGUGAAUCAAGUUAAUGGCCAAGCUAGCUGCUAGCUGCUACACCAAAGCUUCUGAAUCUCUUCCAAGCCAAGGGUGGAACCAUAGGGUUGAGGUUGCAGGCUAUCCUACUCAAGGCUCCAACCAAUCCUAACGCUAACUUGACCAGAGAUGUUGUCAUCAGUGUUUGGGGGAUCUUUAGAUCAUCUUCUAAAAAAGUAUGAUGAUGCUGAUGAAGAUAGUGUGCCACAGGAGCUUGCUGUACAAAAAAUGGAAAUCAACAGCAUCGAGACCAAUACAUCAGAGGUAUCCCAAU